Molecule: long non-coding RNA, 1120 nt
Organism: Hemibagrus wyckioides
Lineage: Eukaryota; Metazoa; Chordata; Actinopteri; Siluriformes; Bagridae
Exons: 3
Source: RefSeq, a predicted model, not a curated record
AUCUCUCGCAACUGCAAUGAGACGCUCCUGCUGUUUGUUCACAUGAUUCACACUGUCCUGAAUGCGCCUCCAUUCUGAUGUGGGCAACACGGUCACUUUGCGCAGGUCUACAGACUGUGUAAACACUAGACACUGUUGUGUGUGAAAAUCCCAGGAGAUCAGCAGGUUCUGAAAUACUGAAACCAGCCCAUCUGGCACCAACAAUCUUGAUAACCAGCAUUAACUUCUUCAGCAGUUUGAGCAACAGUAGCUCGUCUGUUUGAUUGGAUCACACAGGCCAACCUUUGCUCCCAACGUGCAUCAUUGACCCUUGGCCACCCAUGACCCUGUCACCGGUUCUCCACUGUUCCUUCCUUGGUCCACUUUUGAUAGAUAAUGACCACUGCAGACCGGGAACACCCCACAAGAGCUGCAGUUUUGGAGAUGCUCUGAUCCAGUCGUCUAGCCAUCACAACUUGGCCCUUGUCAAACUCACUCAAAUCCUUAUGCUUGCCCAUUUUUUCUGCUUCUAACACACCAACUUUGAGGACAAAAUGUUCACUUGCUGCCUAAUAUAUCCCACCCACUAACAGGUGCCAUGAUGAGGAGAUAAUCAGUGUUAUUCACUUCAUAACAUUAUGAAGUGUUAUUCAUAAUGUUAUGCCUGAUCAGUGUAUAAUUAAUUGUAUGCUGGUGCUCUUCUGCCUCUUCUUUCAACUAAUAUUCUUCUUUUUUGACUUUUUACUGUUUGCUUUGUUACUCUGCUGCAAAUUCUCUCUUUUUGUUUGGCCAGUGUCUUUCACACAAUCAAUCACACAAAGAAAGUCACAGCUAGCAGUAGAUUAUUUUAAGUAGUACUGAAUGCAUUGGAUUAAAGGCUUUGUACAAGACUCAAUAGGGAGCAUGUUGCAGAACUAGUUUAAUUAAUGCACAGCUCAAAGAAACAGAGAACAGUUUCAAAAGGGGCAGAUGAGAGAAGGAAGUCAGAUUCUUGUUAUGACAAUCUCUGUCUCCAGGUCUUAUUAGAAAUGAGGACAAAUGGUCUUGCAAGUUUGCGGUUGCUGGGGUUGUUUCCCACCUUGUGGAUAGGCUCCAGUGUCCCUGUGACUAAAAAAAAGGCACCUUUUUCUUAUUGCACUUU